This 277-nucleotide ribosomal RNA is filed under the name Vibrio cholerae. RNAcentral describes it as "partial 23S ribosomal RNA". It matches the Rfam family "Bacterial large subunit ribosomal RNA", at positions 1321 to 1591 of the family's 2925-position model. Lineage: Bacteria; Pseudomonadati; Pseudomonadota; Gammaproteobacteria; Vibrionales; Vibrionaceae. The record is from RNAcentral.
GUGAGAAUCCCGUCCACCGAAUGCCUAAGGUUUCCUGAGGAAGGCUCGUCCGCUCAGGGUUAGUCAGGACCUAAGCCGAGGCCGACAGGCGUAGGCGAUGGACAACAGGUUGAUAUUCCUGUACCACCUCUUUAUCGUUUGAGCAAUGGAGGGACGCAGAAGGAUAGAAGAAGCGUGCGAUUGGUUGUGCACGUCCAAGCAGUUAGGCUGAUAAGUAGGCAAAUCCGCUUAUCGUGAAGGCUGAGCUGUGAUGGGGAAGCUCCUUAUGGAGCGAAGU